AUCAAUGGCAGAAAAUAAAGUGAUCACUUUUAUACAUGAACUUUCUAUUGUAGAACUCAAGUUAUAUACAAUUGAUUGCUAAACAAACCAAAUUUUGCAAGACUUAUAGUAACUGCUGUGUUCUGAGAGAAAAAUAUGAGUUUUAGUUUUGUGAAAUACAAGAGUCAUGUUGAAGAUGGAGACACUGUCAUUUUAUACAUGG
Non-coding RNA from Paramuricea clavata, 202 nucleotides. Lineage: Eukaryota; Metazoa; Cnidaria; Anthozoa; Malacalcyonacea; Plexauridae. The record is from the annotation of a GenBank genome assembly.